Rattus norvegicus (Norway rat) is the source of this 677-nucleotide long non-coding RNA. RefSeq lists it as uncharacterized. Lineage: Eukaryota; Metazoa; Chordata; Mammalia; Rodentia; Muridae. The record is from RefSeq and is a predicted model, not a curated record.
UCCUAUGGGGGAGUACAGACGAAGAGAAUUUUGUAGAAGGUGUAUUAUUUCACAAUACACCCCACCCGCUGCAGUUCCUCAAAAAAGUUCAAUGCUUAAUGUGAAAAAUAACCAUAGCUACUUCCUUCCACUGAGAACACAAAGAGGACAUGACUCUCCAGCUGAGCUUAAACAAGGACCAGAUCCUCUGCAUCCCUGGCCUCUGACUCCAGCUGUGUUCUCUGUAACUGAACUUCCACACUGCACCUGCACUGCAUGUGAAGCAUGGCUUGAAAUCCUGUCUGGAUUAUCGCACCUCUGUAAUGCCAGCACUCAGGAAUGCUGGAGAAGAAGUUCAUACAUUUGAGGCCAGUGGGGGGAUAGACAGUGAAUAUGAGGCAAGCUUGGAUACAUAUUAAGAAACCACCAUGAUGGUUUGUAUAUGCUUGGGCUAGGGAGUGGCACUAUUAGGAGGUGUGGCCUUGUUGGAGUAGUAAGUGUGUCACAGUGGACGUGGGCUUUACCUUAGGUCCUAGCUGCCUGCACAACAGUCUUAGAGACCUGCAAAUGAAGAUGUAGAACUCUCAGCUCUUUCUGCAUCAUGCCUUCCUGAAUGCUGCCAUGCUCCUGCCUUGAUGAUAAUGGACUGAAACUCUGAACCUGUAAGCCAGCCCCAAUUAAAUAUUGUUCUUAUAAGA